GCUGGGUGUGGUGGUGCAUGCUUGUAAUCCCAGGCACUCAGGAGGCUGAGGCAGCAGGAUUACAAGUUUGAGGCCAGCCUCAGAAAUUAAUGAAGACUCAGUAACUUAGUGAGACCUUGUCUCAA
RNAcentral lists this small RNA (125 nucleotides) under Marmota monax (woodchuck). Lineage: Eukaryota; Metazoa; Chordata; Mammalia; Rodentia; Sciuridae. The record is from RNAcentral.